RNAcentral lists this ribosomal RNA (253 nucleotides) under uncultured bacterium. Its description in RNAcentral is "partial 16S ribosomal RNA". It matches the Rfam family "Bacterial small subunit ribosomal RNA", at positions 524 to 776 of the family's 1533-position model. The record is from RNAcentral.
UACGUAGGGGGCAAGCGUUAUCCGGAUUUACUGGGUGUAAAGGGAGCGUAGACGGCGAUGCAAGUCUGAAGUGAAAGGCGGGGGCCCAACCCCCGGACUGCUUUGGAAACUGUAUGGCUGGAGUGCAGGAGAGGUAAGUGGAAUUCCUAGUGUAGUGGUGAAAUGCGUAGAUAUUAGGAGGAACACCAGUGGCGAAGGCGGCUUACUGGACGGCAACUGACGCUGAGGCUCGAAAGCGUGGGGAGCAAACAGG